CCAAGAACUUUUUGGUAAAGAUGUUGCUUCAAGGUUAUGAGCCCAAUGUGGAGCCUUACCUCUCAAUGAUGCUUCAAGCUUAUCAUGAAAACCUGUUGGUGGAACUAAGAAGUAGGUGUCGAAUUUUUGUCCCAAAAGGCCGAAUCCUUAUUGGUUGCUUGGAUGAAACUAGACUUCUACAUUAUGGCCAAGUUUUUGUCCGCAUAACGAUGACCAAAGCUGAGCUGCAGAGCAUAGAUCAGAGCUUCUUCCGGAGGG
This 258-nucleotide unclassified non-coding RNA is filed under the name Hevea brasiliensis (rubber tree). The record is from RNAcentral. Lineage: Eukaryota; Viridiplantae; Streptophyta; Magnoliopsida; Malpighiales; Euphorbiaceae.